UACGGGGGGGGCAAGCGUUGUUCGGAAUUACUGGGCGUAAAGGGCUCGUAGGCGGCCAACUAAGUCAGACGUGAAAUCCCUCGGCUUAACCGGGGAACUGCGUCUGAUACUGGAUGGCUUGAGGUUGGGAGAGGGGUGCGGAAUUCCAGGAGUAGCGGUGAAAUGCGUAGAUAUCAGGAGGAACACCCGUAGCGAAGGCGGCACUCUGGGCCGAUACUGACACUGAGGAGCGAAAGCGUGGGGAGCGAACAGG
This 253-nucleotide ribosomal RNA is filed under the name uncultured bacterium. RNAcentral describes it as "partial 16S ribosomal RNA". It matches the Rfam family "Bacterial small subunit ribosomal RNA", at positions 524 to 776 of the family's 1533-position model. The record is from RNAcentral.